RNAcentral lists this transfer RNA (82 nucleotides) under Candidatus Nomurabacteria bacterium. RNAcentral describes it as "tRNA-Leu". It matches the Rfam family "tRNA". Rfam says of the family: Transfer RNA (tRNA) molecules are approximately 80 nucleotides in length. The record is from RNAcentral. Lineage: Bacteria; Candidatus Nomuraibacteriota.
GCCCGGGUGAUGAAAUGGUAGACAUAAGACACUUAAAAUGUCUGGCGCAACGCGCGUGCGAGUUCGAGUCUCGCCCUGGGCA